AAAAGAACCUGAAACCGUGUACGUACAAGCAGUGGGAGCCCCACCACUAAGCCAGUGGUGAACUCCACAUACGCAUCCUUUGCUGAGGAUACGGUUAACGGAGCGAAAGCGACGUUCAACCGCAAAAGAAGCAGAGGGGGCUUAGUGGUGGGGUGACUGCGUACCUUUUGUAUAAUGGGUCAGCGACUUAUAUUCUGUAGCAAGGUUAACCGAAUAGGGGAGCCGGAGGGAAACCGAGUCUUAAUUGGGCGUUAAGUUGCAGGGUAUAGACCCGAAACCCGGUGAUCUAGCCAUGGGCAGGUUGAAGGUUGGGUAACACUAACUGGAGGACCGAACCGAC
Molecule: ribosomal RNA, 340 nt
Filed under: Salmonella enterica
Lineage: Bacteria; Pseudomonadati; Pseudomonadota; Gammaproteobacteria; Enterobacterales; Enterobacteriaceae
Also listed under: 1 other name
Description: bacterial LSU rRNA
Rfam family: Bacterial large subunit ribosomal RNA
Source: RNAcentral